AAGUCGUAACAAGGUUUCCGUAGGUGAACCUGCGGAAGGAUCAUUAACACGUAUCCAACGUUAAACCCCCCGUGAACUUUUAUUGCGAACCACGCCUUGUUAAAAAGUAGCAGUCCCUGGUAAAUCAUCGCCGAACAGUUUUGAUUCAGGGAUCUCUGCGAAGAGAGCGGUUGUAGCGCGAGGUAAGUGGCCUCAUUCCUCUGCUUGUUAGUGUCUGACAGUGUCACUAGCUCUGUACGAAUGGCGCAGUCACGAUCGCUAGAGGCCGACACGGCCGGCGACCGGGUCACCGGGCAUAGACCCCCCUAUCACCUUUGCAUGAAAACGGGCCUGCGCUUAAUUGUGCGGCCACCAAACUCGAACAACUGUUGGCGAUGGAUAUCUUGGUUCUC
RNAcentral lists this unclassified non-coding RNA (392 nucleotides) under fungal sp. Its description in RNAcentral is "partial internal transcribed spacer region". The stretch from base 1 to 46 matches the Rfam family "Eukaryotic small subunit ribosomal RNA", at positions 1786 to 1831 of the family's 1831-position model. Lineage: Eukaryota; Fungi. The record is from RNAcentral.